AAAAGCGGAGGAAAAGAAACUAACAAGGAUUCCCCUAGUAACGGCGAGUGAAGAGGGAAAAGCCCAAAUUUGUAAUCUGGCUCUUUUAUAAGGGUCCGAGUUGUAAUUUUGAGAACUGUUUUCUGUGCUGGACCAUGUACAAGUCUGUUGAAAAACAGCAUCAUUGAGGGUGAUAAUCCCGUACGUGAUAUGGACUACCAGGGCAAUAUGAUACAGUCUCUAAGAGUCGAGUUGUUUGGGAAUGCAGCUCAAAGUGGGUGGUAAAUUCCAUCUAAGGCUAAAUAUAGGUGAGAGACCGAUAGCAAACAAGUACCGUGAGGGAAAGAUGAAAAGAACUUUGGAAAGAGAGUUAACAGUACGUGAAAUUGUUAAAAGGGAAACAUUUGAAGUUAGACUUGUUAUUGUUGGUUCAGCUUCUUUAUUGAGGUGUAUUCUGAUGAUUAACAGACCAGCAUCAAUUUUUGGGUGUUGGAUAAGGGUUUUGGGAAUGUGGCAGCUUCGGUUGUGUUAUAGACCAUUACUUUGAUACAAUGCUUAGGAUUGAGGAACGCAGUAAGCUUUGUUGCAGAUUUUUUCGGAAGUCUCCUUACUACGGAUGUUGGUGCAAUAGCUUUAAAUGACCCGUCU
RNAcentral lists this ribosomal RNA (627 nucleotides) under Thekopsora rubiae. Its description in RNAcentral is "partial 28S ribosomal RNA". It matches the Rfam family "Eukaryotic large subunit ribosomal RNA", at positions 46 to 654 of the family's 3401-position model. RNAcentral also lists the same sequence under 1 other name. Lineage: Eukaryota; Fungi; Basidiomycota; Pucciniomycetes; Pucciniales; Coleosporiaceae. The record is from RNAcentral.